Molecule: ribosomal RNA, 1216 nt
Filed under: Natronobacterium sp. XJNU-77
Lineage: Archaea; Methanobacteriati; Methanobacteriota; Halobacteria; Halobacteriales; Natrialbaceae
Description: bacterial SSU rRNA
Rfam family: Archaeal small subunit ribosomal RNA
Source: RNAcentral
AGACGGGGGGGGGACCGAGUCGAUUUAGCAUGCUAGUUGUACGAGUUGAGACUCGUAGCAGAUAGCUCAGUAACACGUGGCCAAACUACCCUAUGGAUCCAGACAACCUCGGGAAACUGAGGCUAAUCUGGAAUAGGGCUCUCAUCCUGGAGUGGAGAGAGCCUGAAAUGCUCCGGCGCCAUAGGAUGUGGCUGCGGCCGAUUAGGUAGACGGUGGGGUAACGGCCCACCGUGCCAGUAAUCGGUACGGGUUGUGAGAGCAAGAGCCCGGAGACGGUAUCUGAGACAAGAUACCGGGCCCUACGGGGCGCAGCAGGCGCGAAACCUUUACACUGCACGCCAGUGCGAUAAGGGGACUCCAAGUGCGAGGGCAUAUAGUCCUCGCUUUUUGCGACCGUAAGGUGGUCGCGGAAUAAGUGCUGGGCAAGACCGGUGCCAGCCGCCGCGGUAAUACCGGCAGCACAAGUGAUGACCGCUGUUAUUGGGCCUAAAGCGUCCGUAGCUGGCCGCGCAAGUCUAUCGGGAAAUCUCUCCGCUUAACGGAGAGGCGUCCGGUGGAAACUGUGUGGCUUGGGACCGGAAGACCAGAGGGGUACGUCUGGGGUAGGAGUGAAAUCCCGUAAUCCUGGACGGACCACCGGUGGCGAAAGCGCCUCUGGAAGACGGAUCCGACGGUGAGGGACGAAAGCUCGGGUCACGAACCGGAUUAGAUACCCGGGUAGUCCGAGCUGUAAACGAUGUCUGCUAGGUGUGACACAGGCUACGAGCCUGUGUUGUGCCGUAGGGAAGCCGUGAAGCAGACCGCCUGGGAAGUACGUCCGCAAGGAUGAAACUUAAAGGAAUUGGCGGGGGAGCACUACAACCGGAGGAGCCUGCGGUUUAAUUGGACUCAACGCCGGACAUCUCACCAGCAUCGACAAUGUGCAGUGACGGUCAGUGUGAGAGCUUACCUGAGCCAUUUGAGAGGAGGUGCAUGGCCGCCGUCAGCUCGUACGUUGAGGCGUCCUUGUUAAGUCAGGGCACGAGCGAGACCCGCACUCCUUAUUGCCAGCACCACCUUGUGGUGGUUGGUACAUUAGGAGACUGCCAGUGCCAAACUGGAGAAGGAACGGGCCACGUAGUCAGUAUGCCUCGAUGUGCUGGCGACCCCGGCUACCAAUGGCCACGAACGUGGAAUGCAACGCCGAAAGGCAACGCUAAUAUCUCAAAACUGGGUU